GUGAGCGAUCCGGUGGAGAGAUCACUAGUGAGAAUGAUGACAUGAGUAGCGACAAAGGGAGUGAGAGACUCCCUCGCCGAAAGUCCAAGGGUUCCUGCUUAAAGCUAAUCUGAGCAGGGUAAGCCGACCCCUAAGGCGAGGCCGAAAGGCGUAGUCGAUGGGAACCAGGUUAAUAUUCCUGGGCCAGGAGGAUGUGACGGAUCUCGAAGAUUGUUUCCCCUUAUCGGAUUGGGGAGGCCGUUUAGAGGUUCCUGGAAAUAGCCCUCCGCUAGAUCGUACCCUAAACCGACACAGGUGGAUAGGUAGAGAAUACCAAGGCGCUU
RNAcentral lists this ribosomal RNA (323 nucleotides) under Dinophysis acuminata. RNAcentral's name for it is "partial Bacterial large subunit ribosomal RNA". It matches the Rfam family "Bacterial large subunit ribosomal RNA", at positions 1260 to 1691 of the family's 2925-position model. Lineage: Eukaryota; Dinophyceae; Dinophysales; Dinophysaceae. The record is from RNAcentral.